This 398-nucleotide long non-coding RNA is filed under the name Homo sapiens (human). Its description in RNAcentral is "non-protein coding lnc-ORC6-1:1". The record is from RNAcentral. Lineage: Eukaryota; Metazoa; Chordata; Mammalia; Primates; Hominidae.
GAGGGCAUGACCAGGAAUGCCAUAUUCAAGAUGGCAAUGGCGUGGGUGAUAGUGUGCCUCCUCUAAGGGCCUGCCAUCAUCAGCUGGGACUACAUAGCCAGAAGAAGCAUUCUGCCCUGAGGGGAAGAAUGGUACAACUGGUGCUUCCUGAUGACAGCCUCCAGCAUUGAAUCCUUCACCCUCUCAUCAGUGUCAUUUACUUCAACUUGAGCAUCCAUCGUCCACGUCGCUUGACGUCAUGGUGUGUGCAUUUGUCCUGUGCUGGGCUCCCUACACUGCUCGUGAUCAUCGGAGCUGCCUGCCACGGGUCACAUGUCCAGCACUUUCUCUAUGAGACACGCUUCUGGCUCCACUGGCUGAAUUCGGCUAUCAGCCCUCUUCCGUACUCAUUCUGCCAC